GACGAACGCUGGCGGCGUGCUUAACACAUGCAAGUCGAACGGAAAGGCCCUGCUUUUGUGGGGUUCUCGAGUGGCGAACGGGUGAGUAACCCGUGAGUAACCUGCCCUUGACUUUGGGAUAACUUCAGGAAACUGGGGCUAAUACCGGAUAGGAGCUCCUGCUGCAUGGGGGGGGUUGGAAAGUUUCGGCGGUUGGGGAUGGACUCGCGGCUUAUCAGCUUGUUGGUGGGGUAGUGGCUUACCAAGGCUUUGACGGCUAGUCGGCCUGAGAGGGUGACCAGCCACAUUGGGACUGAGAUACGGCCCAGACUGCUACGGGAGGCAGCAGUGGGGAAUAUUGCACAAUGGGCGGAAGCCUGAUGCAGCAACGCCGGGUGCGGGAUGAAGGCCUUCGGGUUGUAAACCGCUUUCGCCUGUGACGAAGCGUGAGUGACGGUAAUGGGUGAAGAAGCACCGGCUAACUACGUG
RNAcentral lists this ribosomal RNA (468 nucleotides) under uncultured bacterium. Its description in RNAcentral is "partial 16S ribosomal RNA". It matches the Rfam family "Bacterial small subunit ribosomal RNA", at positions 28 to 507 of the family's 1533-position model. The record is from RNAcentral.